RNAcentral lists this unclassified non-coding RNA (297 nucleotides) under uncultured fungus. Its description in RNAcentral is "partial contains small subunit ribosomal RNA, internal transcribed spacer 1, and 5.8S ribosomal RNA". The stretch from base 1 to 73 matches the Rfam family "Eukaryotic small subunit ribosomal RNA", at positions 1759 to 1831 of the family's 1831-position model. The record is from RNAcentral. Lineage: Eukaryota; Fungi.
GCAAACUUGGUCAUUUAGAGGAAGUAAAAGUCGUAACAAGGUCUCCGUUGGUGAACCAGCGGAGGGAUCAUUACAGAGCGUAAAAACCUCUCUCAACCCCUUGUUUAUCUAUCUGAACAACCUGUCUGCUUCGGCGGGCGGCCCCAGGGCGGGGCCGCGGUCCGCGUUUCGGCGCGGGCGCCCGCCGGAGGAGACGCCCACAACUCUAUUUAUCUAUACCAUUCUGAGCCUAAAAACAAAAUUGUCAAAACUUUCAACAACGGAUCUCUUGGUUCUGGCAUCGAUGAAGAACGCAGC